AAAGAGAGAGAAAGAAAGUUGUGAACUAGUAGAUGAAAACAAACAAGAAAUAGAAGAAAUAAUAGUAAAUAAAGUAGCUGAAAAUUUUGUAGCUUGAGUUCGAUCCUUGUUGCAAAUAAAAAGUAAAGUUUAUACAGUUUAAAUUGUUUGAAGUGCAGGAAAGUUGGUGGUAAAGUGCCGAUAAUCUGGGAUCUGUUUUCGGAUCAAAAUUCCCAUUGGUGCAACUGCCAUCCUGUCCGUGUCGACGGCGACCUGAAAGGAGAAGAAAAAGUGAAAAUAGGAGAAGUUUGUAAGGCGAAAAGGAGAAAGUGGAAGUGAAUUGUAGAUUGUAGAUCGCUCUACGGAAACGCUAUUUGGUGUUCAAAGAAGGAGUAAGAAACCAAUUAUUGUAAGUAAACUAUAGAGUAAAUUAAGUGUAUAAGUCUAAUAAAGAAUUUUGUAGUUUGAGCUGCCACGAAACAGUGCUGCUUCGAAAACUGGUUCAAGUCCGAACAGAGCCCAUAAGCAGUCAUGCUGAAGACCAGCCCAACACUAACAUCACGGAAAAACAGACAUAACACUCUUAUUAUUCAUUUCGUACACUGAUAUAACGAUCCUUUUGAAAAUUUGCUAGUUGGCCGACCAACCAGCCCUGGCACUUGUAUUGGUUUGCUUGGGCUUGACAUUUGACGGACACUACCGCUCAUUGAUUAAUGGUUGGCCAAACUAUAUCUUUUUUGUCAUUAGGUGAACAUGCUUCCGUUACUAUGUUUUACAUCGAGAAGCGUUAGGGCUGUUUGUCCGUGCUAUAAAUCCCAUGCUAUGCAUUAUUGAUCGCCUACAUAACUAUGAUAGCAUUAUUGAAUAGCAUAUGUUUAGAAGAAGAGAAAAUCUCUGAUGACAUUGUUAGCAGCUGUCAUGGCAACCAAUCUCAGCAGCAUUACUCGAAAGAAUAGCUCAUGUUCUAAGGAAAAAUCUGUGAUUGAAAUAUCAUCAGUCAUUUUUUAUGUUCGUUGAUAUGCAUCAUUAGCCUCUUUAUCAAGCACAGCCUAUGACUAGGGAUCAUAUAUGUAGCCGAUGUGGUUAGCCAACGGGUAGUCAUGCUGAGAGUGAUAGGUUCGAUUCUUGCUCGGACCAGGAACUUUUUGUAAUGGAAAAUUACUCAACUACAGCGGGCAUAAUGUAUCUUCUCGCCUGUCACACGAUAUACAAAUGUAAAGUGGUCAUUGGCAGAGAAGGCUCUCAAUUAAUAACUGCAGAAAUGCGUAAAGAAACUGUGAAACAGGCUUUGUCUCAGAUGGGAUGUUACGCCAUAAAAUAGAAGAAGAAGAAGUACUAUAACUCCUUUCCUUCGUUUUCGCAAAUUCAGCCUUUUGUGCAUUCAGCCUUUUGAAAUUUAGCCUUAUGUUACUUUCAGCUUUUUGUGUUCAGCCUUUUUUGCAUUCAGCCUUCUAAAAUUCAGCCUUAUGUUAGCAUCCCGUUAAUUUAGAUGUUAAUUGACCAAUUUACCCUUUCUUUGAUUAAAAACAAUAUUGUCAUGCUUAACGGCUUGCAAUCAAAAAAGCCCAAUAUUACAUAUUUUGCCCUAAAAAAUUGGGGUUUAGCUCAAAAUUGUGACGAGCUGGAGCAAAUCUGAGCCCGGAUUCGGAUUCAGGGGCCCAAAAUCUGUCAGAGACACAUAAGUUUGCUCUUGAGACAAACCAAUAGUUAAUUUUUGUUACGCUGUGUAAUUGAUAAAGCUGUAGAUUUAUUCAGAAACGAUUAACUUAAUUUCGUCGAAAAGUUGAUUAAGAGCAUUUCAAGCUAAACUAAGGGGCUGUCC
This is a long non-coding RNA of Aedes albopictus (Asian tiger mosquito), 1801 nucleotides long. RefSeq lists it as uncharacterized. The transcript is spliced from 3 exons. Lineage: Eukaryota; Metazoa; Arthropoda; Insecta; Diptera; Culicidae. The record is from RefSeq and is a predicted model, not a curated record.